Ornithodoros turicata is the source of this 1987-nucleotide RNA transcript. It is a transcript of the gene named putative zinc finger protein 705EP, with no coding region annotated. The transcript is spliced from 3 exons. NCBI's taxonomy places the organism in Eukaryota, Metazoa, Arthropoda, Arachnida, Ixodida, Argasidae. The record is from RefSeq and is a predicted model, not a curated record.
UACUCAAAUAAACUGUUCUGGUUUGGUACAAACAGUGACGUCAUUGCAUUUACUGCCAAGCAGGAUAGUGUGCAUUCCUAUAGGAAUUUCGGUAAGGGCAAUUUGCCGGCUAAAAAUUGUGUUUUGCCCUAAAGAGGCAACCUUCAGUUCGGGGUGGAAAUGGGUUAGCUCCUAAAGCAUCAGGCUCUAAAUACAGCCUGUGUACUUUUCUCACAACAAUCAAUCAGUGUGAUGCCAACAGGUAUUAACAAAGGUGCUGUUGGGCUGUUGAGAAGAGCAUUGCCAGUGUUCCAAGGCAGAAAUUGUUGAACAGUCGCUGUUCAAAAUAUAACAGCAGCUCAAGAUGUGAGGCUUUCUCAUGAACUACGUCCAAGUUAACAUGGGUUAGCAGACGACGGAGGAACCUGAAGACAAGUGACUGCGGUGCCUCCUAGUGUGACUAAAGCCACUACCCUCUGAGCAUUCGUGUCCGUGCAGCAACUGUCACAUGACCUCUGACUUCCGAGCAGUAGGUCGUGUUGCUACAUUUUUUUGACCACCCAUCGUUGUACUGGUUGAUAGUCACAUGAUCUUCUUUGUCUUACAGGCACCAAAGAGGGAAGAGAAGAUUAUUCCUUCGAAGACUUUGACGUACAUUUCACUCGAAACUGCAUCAACGCUGCUUUUCGACCAUUUCGCCAUUGCGGGUGUCACGUACCUCUUGUUUGGGUGUGCCAUUAGAUGGGUGCCUCCUUAAUUCUCAUUGAUGACGAUCAUUGGAACCAAUGACCAUUGAAUAUUCACGCAGCGUCAGAGAGAGUAAAACGUGUCAACUUCUCAACGACAAUUGGAUCCUGCGCAUCCUAAGAGGUUCACGUAUAUUUGGUGACGCUACGUGCAUAUUCAAUAGCCAUGUGUUUCAAUUGUCGUUGAAGAUUAUCCAUGUGACGGGAGUAUAGAACUAGAAUGUCGUCUGUUCUCCACUGUUGCACUGGCAGUAGGGGUGGGCUCCGUUAUCCCAUUGGCUGAUGUUCGGACGUCCUUGCUUCUGUUACAGUUGUGAAAGAGGAGUGGGAAGAUUUUUCGUACGAAAGUUUCCCCCAGGGAAUCGCACACGCCUUGGAAGAGGACUCCGGAAGGCGACGCGAUGCCGACACGCAAGAAUUCCAGCACCAGUUCUGCAAUUACUCUGGAGCGCAUGCACCCCAUGUUGAGGUCCACGAAAGGCCUCGUGCGGGUCAAGUGUGUUCCAUGGGAUUUGCACACGGGGAUGCCGUGACUGCACCCCCGGAGCACCAUCUGCUUACCCUCCAGAGUGUUCGUUCAGAAGAACCAGUGCCUAAGGGAUCACUAGGGGACGCACCGGCGGUGAAGGAGGAGCCCAAAGAUCUCGGCGACGCAGAGGGGGAUACGGAAGAACCCUUCGAGGGGCCCCAGUGCAGCAGUCCGUGCGCCUCCGAGGGGUUACCCGAGGAACCCCCCAAGUCGAAGCACCCCUUCAAGGGAGGAAAGCGCCGCUGCCACUUCUGCAACUACUCCAGCAACAAGGCGAGCCACGUCAAGAGACACGAGAGGAGCCACACCGGUGAGAAGCGGUACGUGUGCGGAGUCUGCUGCAGGGGAUUCGCGGAAAAGUGCACCCUGACGAAACACCUGCGGGUGGUUCACAUGGGGGAGAGGAAGCACGCCUGCAACAUCUGCGGUCGCACCUUUAAACAGAAGCACCACCUGACGAGGCACACGAUGUCUGUGCACCCUUAGGGGCCGUUCCUGUGCACUCCCUGCAGGUGCUGGCCUGCGGAAAGGCGCUCGGAUGCCUGCAGGUGCUCACUGCGGAUAGGUGCUCCUCCAGCAACAAGGCGAGCCACAUCAAAAGACACGAGAGGAGCCACACCGUUGUGCGGAGUCUGCUGCAGGGGAUUCGCGGAAAAGUGCACCCUGACGAAACACCUGCGGGUGGUUCACAUGGGGGAGCGGAAGCACGCCUGCAACAUCUGCGGUCGCACAU